This 220-nucleotide ribosomal RNA is filed under the name uncultured Hyphomicrobium sp. RNAcentral describes it as "partial 16S ribosomal RNA". It matches the Rfam family "Bacterial small subunit ribosomal RNA", at positions 31 to 279 of the family's 1533-position model. The record is from RNAcentral. Lineage: Bacteria; Pseudomonadati; Pseudomonadota; Alphaproteobacteria; Hyphomicrobiales; Hyphomicrobiaceae.
GAACGCUGGCGGCAGGCCUAACACAUGCAAGUCGAACGCCCUAGCAAUAGGGAGUGGCAGACGGGUGAGUAACGCGUGGGAACCUUCCCUAUAGUACGGAAUAGCCCAGGGAAACUUGGAGUAAUACCGUAUACGCCCGUAAGGGGAAAGAUUUAUCGCUAUAGGAUGGGCCCGCGUAGGAUUAGCUAGUUGGUGAGGUAAUGGCUCACCAAGGCGACGA